Molecule: ribosomal RNA, 229 nt
Filed under: uncultured bacterium
Lineage: Bacteria
Description: partial 16S ribosomal RNA
Rfam family: Bacterial small subunit ribosomal RNA
Source: RNAcentral
UAUGUAGGCGGAAAAUUAAGUCAGUAGUGAAAUCCUGCAGCUUAACUGUAGAACUGUUAUUGAUACUGGUUUUCUUGAAUAUAGUUGAGGUAGGCGGAAUGUGUAAUGUAGCGGUGAAAUGCUUAGAUAUUACACAGAACACCGAUUGCGAAGGCAGCUUACUAAGCUAUGAUUGACGCUGAGGUACGAAAGCGUGGGGAGCGAACAGGAUUAGAUACCCUGGUAGUCC